This 484-nucleotide ribosomal RNA is filed under the name uncultured bacterium. RNAcentral's name for it is "partial 16S ribosomal RNA". It matches the Rfam family "Bacterial small subunit ribosomal RNA", at positions 30 to 507 of the family's 1533-position model. The record is from RNAcentral.
AUUGAACGCUGGCGGCAGGCCUAACACAUGCAAGUCGAGCGGAUGAAGCGAGCUUGCUCCUGGAUUCAGCGGCGGACGGGUGAGUAAUGCCUAGGAAUCUGCCUGGUAGUGGGGGAUAACGUCCGGAAACGGGCGCUAAUACCGCAUACGUCCUGAGGGAGAAAGUGGGGGAUCUUCGGACCUCACGCUAUCAGAUGAGCCUAGGUCGGAUUAGCUAGUUGGUGGGGUAAAGGCCUACCAAGGCGACGAUCCGUAACUGGUCUGAGAGGAUGAUCAGUCACACUGGAACUGAGACACGGUCCAGACUCCGACGGGAGGCAGCAGUGGGGAAUAUUGGACAAUGGGCGAAAGCCUGAUCCAGCCAUGCCGCGUGUGUGAAGAAGGUCUUCGGAUUGUAAAGCACUUUAAGUUGGGAGGAAGGGCAGUAAGUUAAUACCUUGCUGUUUUGACGUUACCAACAGAAUAAGCACCGGCUAACUUCGUG